GACGAACCGUGCGAACGUUGUUCGGAAUCACUGGGCUUAAAGGGCGCGUAGGCGGGUCAGCAAGUCCGGGGUGAAAUCUUUCGGCUUAACCGGAAAAGGGCCUUGGAUACUGCUGGUCUCGAGGGAGGUAGGGGCCUGCGGAACUUCUGGUGGAGCGGUGAAAUGCGUUGAUAUCAGAAGGAACGCUGGUGGCGAAAGCGGCGGGCUGGACCUCUUCUGACGCUGAGGCGCGAAAGCCAGGGGAGCAAACGGG
This 253-nucleotide ribosomal RNA is filed under the name uncultured prokaryote. RNAcentral's name for it is "partial 16S ribosomal RNA". It matches the Rfam family "Bacterial small subunit ribosomal RNA", at positions 524 to 776 of the family's 1533-position model. The record is from RNAcentral.